This 285-nucleotide ribosomal RNA is filed under the name uncultured prokaryote. RNAcentral describes it as "partial 16S ribosomal RNA". It matches the Rfam family "Bacterial small subunit ribosomal RNA", at positions 524 to 819 of the family's 1533-position model. The record is from RNAcentral.
UACGUAGGGGGCUAGCGUUAUCCGGAAUUACUGGGCGUAAAGGGUGCGUAGGUGGUUUCUUAAGUCAGAGGUGAAAGGCUACGGCUCAACCGUAGUAAGCCUUUGAAACUGGGAAACUUGAAUGCAGGAGAGGAGAGUGGAAUUCCUAGUGUAGCGGUGAAAUGCGUAGAUAUUAGGAGGAACACCGGCGGCAAAGGCGGCUUGCUGGACGGCAACUGACGUUGAGGCUCGAAAGCGUGGGGAGCAAACAGGAUUAGAUACCCCCGUAGUCCCUGAGCGGGCUGG